AGCAGCCGCGGUAAUUCCAGCUCCAAUAGCGUAUAUUAAAGUUGUUGCAGUUAAAAAGCUCGUAGUUGAGUUUCGGGGUUAGUAGGUUGGUCAUGCCUCUGGUAUGUACUGGUCUCACUGAUUCCUCCUUCCUGAUGAACCUUAAUGCCAUUAAUUUGGUGUUUUGGGGAAUUUGGACUGUUACUUUGAAAAAUUAGAGUGUUUAAAGCAAGCUAACGCUUGAAUACAUUAGCAUGGAAUAAUGAAAUAGGACGUUCGAUCCUAUUUUGUUGGUUUCUAGGAUUGACGUAAUGAUUAAUAGGGAUAGUUGGGGGCAUUAGUAUUCAAUUGUCAGAGGUGAAAUUCUUGGAUUUAUUGAAGACUAACUACUGCGAAAGCAUUUGCCAAGGAUGUUUUCAUUAAUCAAGAACGAAAGUUAGGGGAUCGAAGACGAUCAGAUACCGUCGUAGUCUUAACCAUAAACUAUGCCGACUAGGGAUCGGAUGAUGUUAAUUUUUAAUGACUCAUUCGGCGCCUUACG
RNAcentral lists this unclassified non-coding RNA (520 nucleotides) under uncultured Glomus. Its description in RNAcentral is "SSU rRNA". It matches the Rfam family "Eukaryotic small subunit ribosomal RNA", at positions 569 to 1092 of the family's 1831-position model. The record is from RNAcentral. Lineage: Eukaryota; Fungi; Glomeromycota; Glomeromycetes; Glomerales; Glomeraceae.